GACGAACGCUGGUGGCGUGCUUAACACAUGCAAGUCGAACGGGAUUUAGUAAACAGAAGCCUCGGUGGAAGAUUACUAAUGAGAGUGGCGAACGGGUGAUUAACGCGUGAGCAACCUGCCUAUGACAGUGGGAUAGCCUCGGGAAACCGGGAUUAAUACCGCAUAAAAUCGUAGAAACACAUGUUUUAACGGUCAAAGAUUUAUCGGUCAUAGAUGGGCUCGCGUCUGAUUAGCUAGUUGGUGAGAUAACAGCCCACCAAGGCGACGAUCAGUAGCCGGUCUGAGAGGAUGAACGGACACAUUGGAACUGAGACACGGUCCAAACUCCUACGGGAGGCAGCAGUGGGGAAUAUUGCACAAUGGGGGAAACCCUGAUGCAGCGACGCCGCGUGAACGUAGAAGGUAUUCGUAUCGUAAAGUUCUGUCCUAUGGGAAGAUAAUGACAGUACCAUAGAAGAAAGCUCCGGCUAAAUACGUG
RNAcentral lists this ribosomal RNA (478 nucleotides) under uncultured bacterium. RNAcentral's name for it is "partial 16S ribosomal RNA". It matches the Rfam family "Bacterial small subunit ribosomal RNA", at positions 28 to 507 of the family's 1533-position model. The record is from RNAcentral.